RNAcentral lists this ribosomal RNA (497 nucleotides) under uncultured bacterium. Its description in RNAcentral is "partial 16S ribosomal RNA". It matches the Rfam family "Bacterial small subunit ribosomal RNA", at positions 28 to 507 of the family's 1533-position model. The record is from RNAcentral.
GAUGAACGCUGGCGGCGUGCCUAAUACAUGCAAGUCGAGCGAACGGACGAGAAGCUUGCUUCUCUGAUGUUAGCGGCGGACGGGUGAGUAACACGUGGAUAACCUACCUAUAAGACUGGGAUAACUUCGGGAAACCGGAGCUAAUACCGGAUGAUAUUUUGAACCGCAUGGUUCAAAAGUGAAAGACGGUCUUGCUGUCACUAAUAGAUGGAUCCGCGCUGCAUUAGCUAGUUGGUAAGGUAAUGGCUUACCAAGGCAACGAUGCAUAGCCGACCUGAGAGGGUGAUCGGCCACACUGGAACUGAGACACGGUCCAGACUCCUACGGGAGGCAGCAGUAGGGAAUCUUCCGCAAUGGGCGAAAGCCUGACGGAGCAACGCCGCGUGAGUGAUGAAGGUCUUCGGAUCGUAAAACUCUGUUAUUAGGGAAGAACAUAUGUGUAAGUAACUGUGCACAUCUUGACGGUACCUAAUCAGAAAGCCACGGCUAACUACGUG